GACGAACGCUGGCGGCGUGCUUAACACAUGCAAGUCGAACGGAAAGGCCCUGCUUUUGUGGGGUGCUCGAGUGGCGAACGGGUGAGUAACACGUGAGUAUCCCGCCCUUGACUGUGGGAUAACUUCAGGACACUGGGGCUAAUACCGGAUAGGAGCUCCUGCUGCAUGGUGGGGGUUGGAAAGUUUCGGCGGUAUGGGAUGGACUCGCGGCUUAUCAGCUAGUUGGUGGAGUAGUGGCCUACCCGGGCAUAGGCGGGUAGCCGACCUGGGCGCGUGGACACGGACCAUACGCCUGAGGUACGGCCCAGACUCCAACGUGAGGCAGCGGUGGAAAGUCUGGCACAGUAAGCGCGAGCGUGUGACGACGACCUCGGGUGCGGAAAGACCGCCUUCGGGUUAUAAACAGCUUUCUCCUGAGACGAAGCUUGAGUGACGGUACCGGGUAAAGAAGCACCGGCUAACUACGUG
This 468-nucleotide ribosomal RNA is filed under the name uncultured bacterium. Its description in RNAcentral is "partial 16S ribosomal RNA". It matches the Rfam family "Bacterial small subunit ribosomal RNA", at positions 28 to 507 of the family's 1533-position model. The record is from RNAcentral.